RNAcentral lists this small RNA (118 nucleotides) under unclassified sequences. RNAcentral's name for it is "LOOT RNA". It matches the Rfam family "LOOT RNA". From Rfam's summary of the family: Latescibacteria, OD1/Parcubacteria, OP11, TM7. Lineage (Microgenomates, aka OP11) The record is from Rfam by way of RNAcentral.
GACCUAAACCGUUCGAGCAAUCGGCGGCAUGGUUCCAAAACGUUUCCACGUAGAGAGCUCCUAGUCAGAGCACGUGGAAACGUCAUAUCUCGAAAGGGGUAUGGGUCCCGCAAGGAUC